This 831-nucleotide long non-coding RNA is filed under the name Homo sapiens (human). RNAcentral's name for it is "non-protein coding lnc-RTL4-3:2". The record is from RNAcentral. Lineage: Eukaryota; Metazoa; Chordata; Mammalia; Primates; Hominidae.
CUAUGUUCUACCCCAGCUACUGCUGGCAAGAGAAAGAUGAGACGCUUUAUUUCUCAGUCUCAUAAAAGAGUGCAACAGUGUGUCGGCCGACUCUGGUACGCCUUUAUGUUUAUGGCACUGUCCAGCUUUCUGCGAAUAGCGACUUAUACUGUGGAGCAAUGGAAUUGGAGCAAUGGAAACCUCUAAAACACUUAAUUCGUUUAACAUCCGCUCCUCAAACCCUGCUUGGGCAUUACUCUUCUCCAAAUUUUGAUGGAGUAGAGUUAGCAGAACUCUGAACUUAAUGGGACAUCAAAUUUGACAACUAUCUACACCAUAAAGCAUCUUCAUAAGAACCAAAAAUCAGGUGAGCAAUCACAAUAUCUGAAUCACUGAUGCAACCUCUCCCCCAUCCUCUAGUGGUAACCCUGUCAUGCAGAGACAGAAUCAGUGCACCUAGAGGAGGGAGAAUGCAGCAAUUGUGGGACUGUUCGUUGAAUGCACUGUUGCCCUGUCACAGCAGAAAGCAAAACUGGACUGAAUUCAUCCAACACCCACUGACGGAGGAAACAUUUAGAUGAGCCCUAGCCAGAGGGGAAUCACUCAUCCCAGUGGUCAGAACUUUAGUUUCUGCAAGCCUUGCCACCACAGGAUGAAGUGAUUUGGGGUCCUAAAUAAACCUGAAGGGCAAUUUAGGUCACAAAGACUGCAAUUCCUAAGGCAAGUCCUAGUGCUAGGCUAGGCUCAGAGUCAGUGGACUUGGAAGGCACAUGACCCAGUGAGACACCAGCUGGGGCAGCUAAGGGAGUGCUUGCACCACCCCCUCCCACAACCCCCAGCAGCAUGGCUCAU